AACGGACCUGCUGUAGCGUGUUGUAGCGCCAUCGCUAAACUGUCCUCCCUCGGGUCCUGGACUAUGUCACUUUAUCCUCGUUGUAGAAGUCCUGCAAACAUUGUGUUUGCUGGUAGUCUGUUGGCAUCUACAGUAGCACCAAUGCUUUUGACUUUCACCUUGACUGGGCCCCAUUUGUAAUGAUCUGAAGUAUUUAUCUGCAUUAUAUCUGAAUUUAAUCAGAACGAUACGAGCGAGCAGGAGCGUCUGUUUGUGGGCGGGGCUUGAGGGGAGAGGAGGAGCUGAGGGGAAAACUGGUUGGAGGGGUAGAGUUUACAUUCAAGAUUUCUCCCAAAAACUGGAACUUCCUCAGAUCCUGACUACACCACCUUUAA
RNAcentral lists this long non-coding RNA (374 nucleotides) under Xyrichtys novacula (pearly razorfish). The record is from RNAcentral. Lineage: Eukaryota; Metazoa; Chordata; Actinopteri; Labriformes; Labridae.